CAGGUGCCAACUGUGAGAUCAACUGCUCCCUCUCACCCAUUUGCAAAGUCCCAAGUGGAAGAGGAGUCUUCGUUGCAGGAGAAUGUUUGCUACUGAUUCUUCCAACCAGUGCUCUGAUCUACAGCAGCUAUGGCUUUGCCAGUGUCCUGUUAAUUUAGUUACCACAGUAGGAAAAUAUCUCAGAAGAUAGCUCACUCAAAUUGCAAUAGCUGCAGGCAAGAGGGCUGCCAGCAGGGAGCUGCCUUACAUCUGGGCUUGAAAGAGCUCAAAGGUAAAGCACAUUGAAAUGCUACUUCCUGGAUUUGUCUCUGCUGCUUCCCUCCAUCCAAAGAGCCAUGUUUGAUGCCUGGUCAGCUUGAAAGAUGGUGCUUUUGUGCUAUAUGCUGAAACACAUGAUGUAACUGAUGGCCAGGAUAAGAGUCAGAUGCUCAGCAAGGGUAAAUUGCCAUGGCUUCAGUCAAUGACAUGUCUGCCUGGGACUUCCUCCCAGCAGGCUCUGAGUGAACAGCCUUCAGCACAAACAAAGAGCAUGUUGGAGCUGAAAGGAGACAGGGGACAAGGCAAAUAUCUCUGGGGCCUCUGAUUUGAAGCAUACGAUGGAGUUUAAGGUACAUUUGUAACCUUAUAAGACAUCACAGACACCAGGAUCCCAUGUUGUAAUGGCCUUGGGCCCUGGGACAUUGGGUCCCUGCCAGGGUUGGGCAGGGUGUCAAUGGGGGUUAAAGAAGCAGUGUCAGUCCACGAGGAUGGUCAAGAAUUGCCAUGAGCCAGACCAGCAGUCAGGACCCAGAUAUCCGGACUCUACCCUUUCAUCACGUUCACACCUUUCGGAAUUGGAUGUGACUCAGAAUUUAGGUGAGCUCCUGUAAUUGGGAUGUAUGUGGAUGGUUUAGUUGCUUUCUGUACCUACUGGAGAGCUGUGCCCAGAGGUGAGCCAGGGCCCUUUCUGUGAUCUUACUAAUGGCACGGAGAAUUGUUGCUCACUGCUGGGAGAAGCAGGGGUACUAAAUUAAACUUACAGCUGAAACAGAGCCAUGAAAAGGAUGUGGUUCUUUGAAUAUGUGGUUCACGUGUGAAAAUCUUUGCUGCAGAUGUAGGUGCUAUAUGCUUGCUCACAUAGGCUUCAGAGGGCUCUGGACUCUGAGGUUUAGAGAAGGGAAACCCAGAGAGGCUUACAGAGACAUCAACAAUGGCUUGUGAAAAUCCAGUUGCAGUGUGUUGGAGGGAAUUUUCAAGAUUUUUUGGAUAUUCCAGAUAUACAUUUUAUAUUUGGUCUCUUAAGAAAAAGCACCUUCCAAGUAAUUUCUUCCCUUCAGUGAUGGACUAAAGGAUCCUGGCUAGGUUACAUCCUCUGAUGUAACCAAGGAUAGCUGACCAUAAUUUCUUAUGGCAACUUGAUAUGUAACUAUCACAUCGGAAUUUUUGACAUGAGCUGAAGUUUAGUGUAAAAGAUGACACUGUUGGGUUUAUCUGGGUGAAAGCUUCAACUGCAAUUUCUGAAUAUGGACUACAAAAAUCUGCUCCAAAUAUAAAAUCCCACCUGUAAAUGCAUUAAAAUUCUGAGCCAGAA
Long non-coding RNA from Passer domesticus (house sparrow), 1570 nucleotides. RefSeq lists it as uncharacterized. The record is from RefSeq and is a predicted model, not a curated record. The transcript is spliced from 3 exons. Lineage: Eukaryota; Metazoa; Chordata; Aves; Passeriformes; Passeridae.